GUCCUUUUGAUUUUUAUAUAAGGUCUGACCUGCCCUAUGAAUAUUUAAAUGGCCGCGGUAUACUAACCGUGCAAAGGUAGCAUAGUCAUUUGUCUCUUAAUUGGAGGCUUGAAUGAAGGGUUGGACGAGAUAUGAGCUUUCUUUGUUAUAUUUUAUUGAAUUUGACUUUUGAGUUAAAAGGCUUAAAUUUUUUUAUAGGACGAGAAGACCCUAUAGAAUUUUAUAUAUUUGUAUAAUUGAUUUAUUUAUUUAUUUUUUAAUUUCUUGUUUAAAUAUAUUUUGUUGGGGCGAUGGGAAGAUUUUAAUAACUCUUUUUUGUUUUGAUCAUUGAUUUAUGUUUUAUUCUGAUCCUUUUUUAGAGAUUAUAAGAUUAAAUUACCUUAGGGAUAACAGCGUAAUUCUUUUGGAGAGUUCUUAUCGAUAAAAGAGUUUGCGA
This 436-nucleotide ribosomal RNA is filed under the name Appasus japonicus. Its description in RNAcentral is "partial 16S rRNA". It matches the Rfam family "Bacterial large subunit ribosomal RNA", at positions 1819 to 2523 of the family's 2925-position model. The record is from RNAcentral. Lineage: Eukaryota; Metazoa; Arthropoda; Insecta; Hemiptera; Belostomatidae.